AUACGUAGGGUGCGAGCGUUAAUCGGAAUUACUGGGCGUAAAGCGUGCGCAGGCGGCUUUGCAAGACAGAGGUGAAAUCCCCGGGCUCAACCUGGGAACUGCCUUUGUGACUGCAAGGCUAGAGUACGGCAGAGGGGGAUGGAGUUCCGCGUGUAGCAGUGAAAUGCGUAGAUAUGCGGAGGAACACCAAUGGCGAAGGCAAUCCCCUGGGCCUGUACUGACGCUCAUGCACGAAAGCGUGGGGAGCAAACAGGAUUAGAAACCCUAGUAGUCC
RNAcentral lists this ribosomal RNA (274 nucleotides) under uncultured bacterium. RNAcentral describes it as "partial 16S ribosomal RNA". It matches the Rfam family "Bacterial small subunit ribosomal RNA", at positions 523 to 796 of the family's 1533-position model. The record is from RNAcentral.